ACCUACGGGAGGCAGCAGUGGGGAAUAUUGCACAAUGGGGGAAACCCUGAUGCAGCAACGCCGCGUGAGCGAUGAAGGCCUUCGGGUUGUAAAGCUCUGUCUUCUCUGACGAAGUAUGACGGUAAGAGAGGAGGAAGCCACGGCUAACUACGUGCCAGCAGCCGCGGUAAUACGUAGGUGGCGAGCGUUGUCCGGAAUUAUUGGGCGUAAAGGGUGCGUAGGCGGUCUUUUAAGUGGGAUGUGAAAUCCUCAGGCUUAACUUGAGAAUUGCAUUCCAAACUGGAAGACUAGAGUGCAGGAGAGGAAAGUGGAAUUCCCAGUGUAGCGGUGAAAUGCGUAGAGAUUGGGAGGAACACCAGUGGCGAAGGCGACUUUCUGGACUGUAACUGACGCUGAGGCACGAAAGCGUGGGGAGCAAACAGGAUUAGAUACCCCGGUAGC
RNAcentral lists this ribosomal RNA (441 nucleotides) under uncultured bacterium. RNAcentral's name for it is "bacterial SSU rRNA". It matches the Rfam family "Bacterial small subunit ribosomal RNA", at positions 337 to 794 of the family's 1533-position model. The record is from RNAcentral.